This 254-nucleotide ribosomal RNA is filed under the name uncultured bacterium. Its description in RNAcentral is "partial 16S ribosomal RNA". It matches the Rfam family "Bacterial small subunit ribosomal RNA", at positions 524 to 776 of the family's 1533-position model. The record is from RNAcentral.
GACGUAGGGCGCGAGCGUUGUCCGGAUUUAUUGGGCGUAAAGAGCUCGUAGGCGGCUUGUCGCGUCGACUGUGAAAACCCGCGGCUCAACCGUGUGGCUUGCAGUUGAUACGGGCAGGCUAGAGUUCGGUAGGGGAGACUGGAAUUCCUGGUGUAGCGGUGAAAUGCGCAGAUAUCGGGAGGAACACCCGUAGCGAAGGCGGCACUCUGGGCCGGAACUGACGCUGAGGAGCGAAAGCGUGGGGAGCAAACAGG